UAGCACUUAGAAACCAGAUUAGCACUCCCCUUGAUAAGGAUGGAAGAGGUCCUAGUGACCUUUACAACACGCGUAUGGUUAAGGCAUUGCCACUUACUUUGUGGCAUCUUAACCAGGACCCUGC
This is a small nuclear RNA of Chelonoidis abingdonii (Abingdon island giant tortoise), 124 nucleotides long. Lineage: Eukaryota; Metazoa; Chordata; Testudines; Testudinidae. The record is from Ensembl.